CCUUCGGGCGGCAGCAGUGGGGAAUAUUGCACAAUGGGGGAAACCCUGAUGCAGCGACGCCGCGUGAAGGAAGAAGUAUUUCGGUAUGUAAACUUCUAUCAGCAGGGAAGAAAAUGACGGUACCUGAAUAAGAAGCCCCGGCCAACUACGUGCCAGCAGCCGCGGUAAAAAGUAGGGGGCAAGCGUUAUCCGGAUUUACUGGGUGUAAAGGGAGCGUAGGCGGUGCAGCAAGUCAGAAGUGAAAGCCCUGGGGCCAACUCCGGGACUGCUUUUGAAACUGUUUAACUAGAUUGCAGGAGAGGUAAGUGGAAUUCGUGGUGUAGCGGUGAAAUGCGUAGAGAGUAGGAGGAACACCAGUGGCGAAGGCGGCUUACUGGACUGUAAAUGACGCUGAGGCUCGAAAGCGUGGGGAGCAAACAGGAUUAGAUACCCCUGUAGCC
Molecule: ribosomal RNA, 440 nt
Filed under: uncultured bacterium
Lineage: Bacteria
Description: partial 16S ribosomal RNA
Rfam family: Bacterial small subunit ribosomal RNA
Source: RNAcentral